Long non-coding RNA from Clarias gariepinus (North African catfish), 964 nucleotides. RefSeq lists it as uncharacterized. Lineage: Eukaryota; Metazoa; Chordata; Actinopteri; Siluriformes; Clariidae. The record is from RefSeq and is a predicted model, not a curated record. The transcript has 2 exons.
UAAAAAAGCUGACCUGUUAAUCACAGGAGUGGUUAGUUGUGCCCCUGUCUGUUUGCAUUGCACAUAUUGUGUCUAUUAGUGGGGUUUUCAUUUAGUAAGAAAAUGUAACGCUGGCCCUUUAAGAAACACAAGCGUGCAAUUACCUGAAAGUGUCGUUGCAAUUACCUGCAAGCAGUGCGAUCUCAUACCACGGUGUUCGUUGGUGCAUUGGAGCAAAAUUUACGCCAAAGUUUAGUGAAAAGUAAACUAGCAUGAGCUGUGCAUGCAUGAUAAAGGUAAAUAAGAGCUCCUUAGUGUUUUGCUGGUCAGUGUGGCCGUGUGUCGCGUUGAUUUCAGGGGAUUUAACCGGGACACAUUAGUGUGGGUGAACCAAAUCAACGCCGUCGCGUAAAGCAGGGGAGAAAACUGCUCCAUAGGCCAUCCGUGUGCUUCCGGUGUGAGUGUGAAGCAUCAGAGUGAGUGUUAUUUCGUGUUACUGUUCCAAAAGUGAGUUAUCGUGAUACACGUGUGUUUUGUUAUAGAGUACAGGAAGAUAGAGGAUUUCUUUAUGUUGUGUGUUCCCAAUGUUAAUGUGAACCUCUAUUAUAUGCAGAGAAGAAACACAAGCUCCUCAUAUGCAGUGUUAAUUUGUGAUGUACUAGAGUGGUGAUAAGCAGUAAGUUUGAAUCAGUUAUUUUGUUUUAUUUGAAAUGAGACAGUAUGUCUAUGGAUGAUGUUAUAUGUCAUGUUUGUGCUGACAAGGUUAUAUUUAUUUUUGUGUUUGCUUAUAGAAUGAGAGGCUGCUACCGUUGUCUAUGUAAUGCAUUUAUUUAGAGAUAAAUUAUCAUUUUGUUUUGAGGGACAAACUUUACUAAUGUCAACAACUGUACAUGAGUUUUAAGUUUCUUUCUGAUUCCCCGAAUUUGCACAAUUAACGCUGCUCUAUUUAAAGUGCAGUCUGGAAUAAAAGAUCCCAUCUAAAUUA